Long non-coding RNA from Drosophila obscura, 536 nucleotides. RefSeq lists it as uncharacterized. NCBI's taxonomy places the organism in Eukaryota, Metazoa, Arthropoda, Insecta, Diptera, Drosophilidae. The record is from RefSeq and is a predicted model, not a curated record. The transcript is spliced from 3 exons.
UGCAGCUGCAGCCGACAGCCACGCGCUAUUUGUAUUGGCAUAGCAUAGCAGGUGCAGACGUGCCAGCUCCCCGAAAAAUUCGAGCCGAGCCUGACAAAGCCAAUGGAUGGAAUUUGCAGCAGCAGAAAGCGAAAGUGCAGCUGCUGGUCCCCGCGGCAUGUCAGAUCCGAUCCCCAAGGGGGCUCUGCAUUUGUAUUUGGUUGGGAAAACACGUAGCUUGUCGCCGGGAGCGGGUGGCAAAAGCCAAACGGAAAACGGAAUGAGAAUGGAAAAUGGCAAAGGAAGUGGAAGUGGAAAAGAAGCUGCGGUUUAAUGUCGGCGGCAAGUGCUGUGGCAGCAGGAUUGUCUGCGGUUCUGGCCACCGAAAGUGCCGCGCAGCACAAACAAGGAAGGAGGCUUCCCGUGGAACCUGCCACCUCUUUUUUGGCAGGCACAUUGCCAGCGAAAGUCUGUCCCUGUCUGUACGCACCAUAAACAUGCAUAUGAAUGAAUCCCUAAAGGCUUGGCAAGUUAACCAUAUUUAAAAGAAAAGAAAA